Molecule: non-coding RNA, 6375 nt
Organism: Odocoileus virginianus texanus
Lineage: Eukaryota; Metazoa; Chordata; Mammalia; Artiodactyla; Cervidae
Source: RefSeq, a predicted model, not a curated record
CGGAGCGCGGAAGCGCGUGAGCGGUUGUUGUCCGAAGUCUGGUCGAUCUCCUGCCGCGGACGGCUGGGCGAGAAGGGAGAGAAGAUGGUGGUCCUUCGCAGCAGUCUAGAGCUGCAGAGCCACCCCGCCGCCUCGGCCACGGACUCUCUGGACCUGUCCAGCGAAUUCCUCAGUUUGGAGCAGAUCGGCCGGAGGCGGCUCCGCUCGGCCGGCGCCGCUGAGCAGUCUGCCGUCACCGCGGCCGCCGCGGGCGAUGGGUCUACAGUUAAGGAAGUUGAAACCUACCACCAGACACGUACUUUAAGGUCCUUGAGAAAAAAUGCACAGAAUUCUUCAGAUUCUAGUUUUGAUAAGAAUACGGUGAUAACGGAGAAACAUGCUAAUGGCAGACAUUUUACAAGGCAGUUGGCCAGACAGCAGGCUGAUAAAAAAAAAGAAGAGUGCAAAGAAGACAAAGCAAUUGCAGUUACUCGGUCAUUGAGAACUAGAAACAUAGUUCAAAAAACAGAACACUUGCAUGAAGAGAACGGUGAUGUUGAAGUUCGCCGGAGUUGUAGGAUCAGAAGCCGCUAUGGUAGUGUGAACCAGUCUGUACUGUUUGACAAACUUAUAACAAACACUGCUGAAGCUGUGCUUCAAAAAAUGGAUGAUAUGAAGAAGCAGCGUAGACGGCGAAUGAGAAAAUUUGAAGACUUGGAGGGGAAUCUUAACAUGUACACAAGAGGUAAACAAAAAGAUAUUCAAAGAACUGAUGAAGAAACAACUGACAAUCAAGAAGGCAGUGGCGAGUCAUCUGAAGAGGGUGAAGACCAAGAAGAUGAAGAUGAUGAUGGUGAAGAUGAAGAUGAUGAAGAGGAGGAGGAAGAUGAUGAUGAGGAAGAUGAUGACGAUGAAGAGGACGAUGAAGAUGAAGAGGACGUCGAAGAAGAUAAUCAGAAGCGAUACUAUCUUAGACAAAGAAAGGCUACUGUUUACUAUCAGGCUCCAUUGGAAAAACCUCGUCAUCAAAGAAAGCCCAAAAUAUUUUAUACUGGCCCAGCUUCUCCUGCGAGACCAAGAUAUCGAUUAUCUUCUGCGGGACCAAGAAGUCCUUAUUGUAAACGAAUGAACAGGCGAAGGCAUGCGAUUCACAGCAGCGACUCCACUUCCUCCUCCUCUUCAGAAGAUGAGCAGUUUGAGAGGAGAAGAAAAAGGAGCCGCAACAGAGCCAUCAACAGGUGCCUCCCACUAAAUUUUCGCAAAGAUGAAUUAAAAGGAAUUUAUAAAGAUCGAAUGAAAAUCGGAGCAAGCCUUGCUGAUGUUGAUCCAAUGCAACUGGAUUCUUCAGUACGAUUUGAUAGUGUUGGUGGCUUGUCUAAUCAUAUUGCAGCUCUAAAAGAGAUGGUAGUAUUUCCAUUACUUUAUCCAGAAGUCUUUGAAAAAUUCAAAAUUCAACCUCCAAGAGGUUGUUUGUUUUAUGGUCCACCUGGAACUGGAAAAACUCUGGUUGCCAGAGCACUUGCCAAUGAGUGCAGUCAAGGGGAUAAAAGAGUAGCAUUUUUCAUGAGGAAAGGUGCCGACUGUCUGAGUAAGUGGGUAGGAGAAUCUGAGAGACAGCUUCGAUUGCUGUUUGAUCAGGCCUAUCAGAUGCGCCCGUCAAUUAUUUUCUUUGAUGAAAUUGAUGGUCUGGCCCCAGUACGAUCAAGCCGGCAAGAUCAAAUUCACAGUUCAAUUGUUUCCACCUUACUAGCUCUGAUGGAUGGAUUGGACAGCAGAGGAGAAAUUGUGGUCAUUGGUGCUACCAACAGACUGGAUUCUAUUGAUCCUGCUUUACGAAGGCCUGGUCGUUUUGACAGAGAAUUCCUUUUUAGCCUACCUGAUAAAGAUGCUCGAAAAGAAAUUCUAAAAAUUCACACAAGGGAUUGGAAUCCUAAACCACUGGACAUAUUUCUGGAAGAACUCGCAGAAAACUGUGUUGGAUACUGUGGUGCAGAUAUUAAGUCAAUAUGCUCUGAAGCUGCUUUAUGUGCUCUGCGUCGACGCUACCCACAGAUCUAUACCACUAGUGAGAAACUGCAGUUGGAUCUCUCUUCAAUUAAUAUCUCAGCUAAGGACUUUGAAGUAGCUAUGCGAAAGAUGAUACCAGCCUCCCAGAGAGCUGUGGCGUCCCCUGGGCAGGCACUGUCCGCCAUUGUGAAACCGCUACUGCAGAGCACUGUGCAGAAGAUCCUCGAAGCCCUCCGGAGAGUGUUUCCACAUGCGGAAAGCAGAACAAAUAAAGCGUUAGACUCUGAUAUUUCUUGUCCUCUCUUAGAAAGUGACUUGGCAUACAGUGAUGAUGAUGUUCCAUCAGUAUACGAAAAUGGACUUUCUCAAAAAUCCCUUAAUAAGGCAAAAGAAAAUUUUAAUUUUCUUCAUUUGAAUAGAAAUGCUUGUUGUCAACCUAUGUCUUUUCGACCAAGAAUGCUGAUAGUGGGCGAACCAGGAUUUGGGCAAGGUUCUCAUUUAGCACCAGCUGUCAUUCAUGCUUUAGAAAAAUUUGCAGUAUACACUUUAGACAUUCCUGUUCUUUUUGGAGUCAGUGCUACAUCUCCUGAAGAAACAUGUGCCCAGGUGAUUCGUGAAGCUAAGAGAACAGCACCAAGUAUAGUGUAUGUUCCUCACAUUCACUUGUGGUGGGAAAUAGUUGGACCAACACUCAAAGCCACGUUUACCACAUUAUUACAGAAUAUUCCUUCUUUUGCUCCAGUUUUACUACUUGCCACUUCUGACAAACCCCAUUCCACUCUACCAGAAGAGGUACAAGAAUUAUUUAUCCGUGACUAUGGAGAAAUUUUUAAUGUCCAGUUACCUAGUAAAGAAGAACGGACACAGUUUUUUGAAGAUUUAAUUCUGAAGCAAGCUGCUAAGCCUCCUAUAUCCAGAAAGAAAGCAGUUUUGCAGGCCCUGGAGGUACUCCCUGUGGCACCACCACCUGAGCCAAGACCACUGACAGCAGAAGAACUGAAACGACUAGAAGAGCAAGAGGAAGAUACAUUUAGAGAACUGAGGAUUUUUUUAAGAAAUGUUACACAUAGGCUUGCUAUUGACAAGCGAUUCAGAAUAUUUACUAAACCUGUUGACCCUGAUGAGGUUCCCGAUUAUGUCACCGUAAUAAAGCAACCAAUGGACCUUUCAUCUGUAAUCAGUAAAAUUGAUCUCCACAAGUAUCUAACUGUGAAAGACUAUUUGAGUGAUAUUGAUCUGAUCUGUAGUAAUGCUUUAGAAUACAAUCCAGAUAGAGAUCCUGGAGAUCGUCUUAUUAGGCAUAGAGCCUGUGCUUUAAGAGAUACUGCUUAUGCAAUAAUUAAAGAAGAACUUGAUGAAGACUUUGAGCAGCUUUGUGAAGAAAUUCAGGAAUCUAGAAAGAAAAGAGGUUGUAGCUCUUCCAGAUAUGCCCCAUCUUACUACCAUGUAAUGCCAAAGCAAAAUUCCACUCCUGCUGGUGAUAAAAAAUCAGAUCCAGAGCAAAGUGAAAAGCCAAGGACGCCCAGUACUCCUGUGGCUUGCAGCACUCCUGCUCAGUUGAAGAGAAAAAUCCGCAGAAAAUCAAAGUGGUACUUGGGCACCAUAACAAAACGAAGGAAGAUCUCACAGGCAAAAGAUGACAGCCAGAAUGUCACAGGUGACAGAAUUGAGAGUGAUACAGAGGAAAAUCAAGAUACAAGUGUAGACCACAAUGAGACCGGAAACACAGGGGAGUCUUCAAUGGAAGAAAAUGAAAAGCCGCAAAAUGCCUCUGAAAGCAAAACAGAAUUGGAAAAUAACAAUUCAGGUGCUUGUAUUGAGAAUGAACCUGAAGAAUCUGGAAAGACUACAGCAUGUACAGAAUUGAGGAAAGAUAAGAUUGCUUGUAACGGAGAUGCUUCUAGCUCUCAGAUAAUAGACAUUUCUGAUGAAAAUGAAGCAAAAGAAAUGUGUGUUCUGCGAAUGACUCGAGCUAGACGUUCCCAAGUAGAGCAACAGCAGCUCAUCAGUGUUGAAAAGGCUUUGGCAAUUCUUUCUCAGCCUACACCCUCACUUGUUGUGGACCAUGAGCGACUGAAAAAUCUUUUGAAGAUUGUUGUUAAAAAAAGUCAAGAAUACAAUAUUUUUCAGUUGGAAAAUUUAUAUGCUGUAAUCAGCCAGUGUAUUUAUCAGCAUCGCAGGGACUAUGACAAAACAGCACUUAUUCAGAAAAUGCAGCAAGAAGUAGAAAACUUCAGUUGUUCCAGAUCAUGAUGUCAUGAUACCAAGUAUUUUUUAUAUUCAGUUCCUAUUUAAUUCACCUUUGUCAUGUUGACAUAACUAAUGCAAGAUGAAAUUCUGAAUCUCUAAGGAAAAGAGUAAAAUAGGUGUGGACUAUGGCAGGAUUGAAAGCCUACGUUUACAAGAUUAAGCUUUGCUUGCUUCUGCUUCCACAAGUUCUGGGGAUCUAAGACGAACCAUAUAAGUAAAAAAAAAGCUGGUGUACAUUGAUUUCAACCAUCAAGCUUUCACUUUAAGCAACUGCAUGUUUGGGGAUUAAUGUGGCUCAGCGGAGCGCUGCUGUCAAAGCACAGAGGGUCCAGGACUGGGGUGGCGGCGGGGAAUGAACACUAAUCCACCAGAGUUCUCACACGUUCUGGUCCGUGAAUCUGAGCCGACUAGCUUGAGGGUGAUGGCAGAUAGGUACUUUGGACCUGUUGGUAAUGAUGGCCUGAGCUAAACACCUCCUAAUUUGAAGGGACACCCUUCCGUGUCAAAGAACAGAAUGGGGAGGAGACUGUGGCAGCUGCCUAAAACGUUGGAGGAGAAUCAAUUCUUCAACUCCAGAUGUCUGAUUUACUGUGAAUGGCCCAAUCUUUGAUGACAUUGAAAACGUUUGGGGGCAUAUACAGUCUCAAAAAAUAGGAUCCAAUACCCAAAAGAAAUGGAAUUCAGUGUUGUGCCAAAGUAAACUACUGCAAAUGGCAGAAGUCCUGCAAUGUACAUAGAACACUAAUUAAAAAAACAACUUGUAAAAAUUCAGAUUUUAAUACAGUACAUUUUUAUUCUGAUAUGAUGGAGACAUUCUGAUUCUUAGACUUUCUGAGGAAGUUUAAUGACCACUAGAGCUUGUCCUCAUAUUUUUUUCAGCUUAAUAGUGUAUGUCUCAUAAGAUGGGCCUUAUUGCCUGUAUUCUUUGAUACGUGAUUAAGCCUAUAGCUUUCAGUGACCAAACAUUUUACAGAGUAAAAAUUGUUAGAAGCAGGAAAAAGAAAAAUCUGAUUUAUUUCUAUGUCUCAUUUAUCUGGCCCUGCACUAAGAUUAAGAGUUGUGCAUGGGUUUAUAUAAUUCCAAUGUAAGUAAAAAACUAUUGACACAUGUUGGAGCAAAGAGGUUUUGUGGUAUCAUUGGCACUUAAUGAUUGGACCUUUCAUUGAACACAUUCAUGGAUACCACGAUUACUAUUUGUAAUACUCCGUUACUAUUUUUCAUUAGAAACUGAAUUAGCUUUUUUUUUAAACCGAACAUAAUCAGUACUGAAGAAGGGAAAGAAACUGGCAUAGGAAUUUCAAGAGGGUGAAACUCUGAAGUAAACGUUGUACCAAAAAUGUGAAAAGGAAUCAUGUAGUAAGUGUUAACUUACGCUUUUCUUACAAUCAUAGAGAAAUCAGAAAUGUUUGUACAGGUGUCAAAUCAGAGCUUUCAAAAAUUAUCUUUUGGUGAAAUUCUACUUUGUGUAACAAUUUCAGUGAAUAAAGAAAAAAAAUUCUGAACUGAUCAGAGUGAGUUAAAACUUAGCUCUUCACUUAUGAAUUAUGGGAGUGUUAACUGUUAACUCUUGCCAUUUCAGGAGACUGAAAGUUCCUCCUAAUUCAUAAACUUUGUAAAGACCGGUGCUGUUCAUUCGUGUUGAGAAGGAUCCUUUUCUUUGUGACUAUAGGACCAUUUUUCAAAAUGUGCUUUCUUCAUAGAAGAAAUGUUCAGUUUCAUUAGCUUUGGAUUUUAAGAUGUUUUUCUGAAUGACCAGAUGUAGUGGGCUUGGCCAGUUUAUUUUGUCUAAUUUAAUGAAUAAUAAAUAUUAAGCUCUUGUUUUUACCUUAAUGUUUUGUCAGCUAAUGAAAAUGUUAUGAAAAAGCCUUGACUAUGCAUGCUGCUUUCAUUUUUAUAAACUUUUCAUUUUUAACUAUAGCUUUAUUAGUAAUUCCAAAAUGCUGCAAUUUAGCUGAUUUCUUCACUCAGACAGCUGGCUUUGUGGGUGGCUUUUUCAUACUACUGUUAACUUUUUAAAGAGAAGCAAUGUAAAGACUGUAACAAUUUAAUGCACUAAACUGUUCUUUCUUUUACACGUUUAAAAACUUCUUAAAGCACUCUGUAUUAUAAAGAUUAAAUUGCUCCCUUUUUUAAACCAUU